Non-coding RNA from Brassica rapa (field mustard), 189 nucleotides. Lineage: Eukaryota; Viridiplantae; Streptophyta; Magnoliopsida; Brassicales; Brassicaceae. The record is from Rfam.
AUACCUUUUUCGGCUUUUUAGGUAAGAUCAAAUGUAGUAUAUGUUCUUAUUAAUAUAAUAUUUUAUAUGUGGAUUAUCUGUUCAUAUGAUAUUAAUUUUAUUUUUAAAGAAAAAAACUCAUUAAAAUAGUUUGCUAUUUGGGUUUUUUAUAAGUUGCUCAUGCACAUAAGACUGGUCCCUAUCCAUCUC